Molecule: long non-coding RNA, 589 nt
Organism: Athalia rosae (coleseed sawfly)
Lineage: Eukaryota; Metazoa; Arthropoda; Insecta; Hymenoptera; Athaliidae
Exons: 2
Source: RefSeq, a predicted model, not a curated record
AAUUAGAUGAAGAGAACAGAAAAUUUUGGCAAGAUAACGUUGCUCAUACUAAUUAGAAUGUGGCAUGAUAUAAGAUGUUUAUUACAAAAAAUAAAUUAAUUCAUUCUACAUACAAAAAUACAUCGUAGGUAAUUAAUAUUAAUAAUACUCUGUAUUUAGUGAUGGUUUCAUAAUAUUGAUAAUGAUGAUAAUUUUAAGAUGUGACAGUUAUGACACAUAAUUAUACAAUAUAUAUUAUGCAAUAUUCUCUGUGGUUUGGUUGCUGAUAAUCUCACUUCAAACGGCACGAUGGAUAUUUAUGUACGUAAAUUAAUUCCUUAUACUAUCCAAUACAAAUUGCUACUGAAGCACGGUUUCAAAUUCGAAAGUACAUGGCCAGAUACUUCUGGUCUUAAACAUUCUAAAUCCUACAAUUAUUAAUGCAAUAAUGGCAUGAAAUAGCAAUCAUAAGAUUGACGAUCGUGUCGUUUGACGUGUGAGCAACCGCAUCGACUGGUAAUAUUAGGUAUAUAUUUGAAAAUAUUGUUCCCUAAAAUAAAUCUCUUCUAAUAAUGUGUUGUACAAUAAAGUGCUUUAAAUUAAACAAGAA